GCUGAUGCCGUGUUCCGCUGACCGCCGUCAGCAACAUGCCCAGGUAGCCAUGAUCCUCAAGGCUACGACGCGGUUCCGACCGCGUUGAUCACACCAGUUCGCACCGGCAUCCAUGCGCGAACGGCCAUCGGUUCUCGAUGGCGA
This 144-nucleotide non-coding RNA is filed under the name uncultured Pigmentiphaga sp. RNAcentral describes it as "radC RNA". It matches the Rfam family "radC RNA". The record is from RNAcentral. Lineage: Bacteria; Pseudomonadati; Pseudomonadota; Betaproteobacteria; Burkholderiales; Alcaligenaceae.